UCAGGAUGAACGCUAGCGGCAGGCCUAAUACAUGCAAGUCGAACGGGAUUGCCUCCUUCGGGAGGCAUGAGAGUGGCGCACGGGUGCGCAACGCGUAUGCAACCAACCCCCGACAGGCGGAUAGCCGGUGGAAACGCCGGAUAAUACGCCAUGGUUCCGGGAGAGGGCAUCCUCUCCUGGAUAAAGCCGAGAGGCGGUCGGGGACGGGCAUGCGUCCCAUUAGAUGGUAGGCGGGGUGACGGCCCACCUAGUCCACGAUGGGUAGGGGAUCUGAGAGGACGGUCCCCCACACUGGUACUGAGACACGGACCAGACUCCUGCGGGAGGCAGCAGUAAGGGAUAUUGGUCAAUGGGCGGAAGCCUGAACCAGCCCAUGCCGCGUGAGGGAAUGAGGCCCUACGGGUCGUGAACCUCUUUUAUUCGGGGACAAGGACGCGGUCGGGAACCGUGUUUGAGGGUACCGAAGGAAUAAGCGUCGGCUAACUCCGUGCCAGCCGCCGC
This 501-nucleotide ribosomal RNA is filed under the name uncultured bacterium. RNAcentral describes it as "bacterial SSU rRNA". It matches the Rfam family "Bacterial small subunit ribosomal RNA", at positions 24 to 518 of the family's 1533-position model. The record is from RNAcentral.